Molecule: long non-coding RNA, 1030 nt
Organism: Xiphophorus couchianus (Monterrey platyfish)
Lineage: Eukaryota; Metazoa; Chordata; Actinopteri; Cyprinodontiformes; Poeciliidae
Exons: 4
Source: RefSeq, a predicted model, not a curated record
GUUUUCUAUUGUAUGUUCAACUGUUACGCACUUACCUCUGACCUGAACGGUGAGACGGCUUAAUGAGUGACUGAGAGUUUCUUCUCACUUUUUUUAAUGGUGACGCCACCUACACUUCCCAGUGUUUCCGGGACGUACGUGAACCAACAUGAAGAUCAGGGAAAACUAUUUGUUUACAGACAUGUUCAUGUUUAUUUCAACCAGAGAAACAGAAAGUAAAACGUACUUAAAGUAAAGAUCAAACUGAGGUCAGGUGUUUACAAGUCAGUCCACACUUCAGCUUCAGGAGCCACAACACAAAACAGCUGUCUACCACAUCUUGCUCUAAAUGAAAUGAGAUUUCCUACCCUGCUGCUGUGAGGAGUUCCCAAAAGCAGGGUCAGAAAACUGGCCUGACGGCUAUAUCGCUGCAUAGGAGAGUGUGUGACUUUUGGAAAACGGCUGAUUGGAUCUCUGAAAGUAUUUAAGGAAGGGGCGACCGAAACUAAGCACCCCCACGUCCCUUGAAGGGCCAACGAUGAUGAGGGGAUUAUUCAGGAGAUAAACUGCUGAAGAUACGAGUGGAGAGUUUUGCCACGAGCAGAAUUUAGAGAGGACAUCGUGUGUUGAGACAGGAAGAAAGCAUUCGCGAUGCAUGAUGUGACGACUGUAUUUCCUGUGAUAGAAUGCUGGAAGCCCUGAUUUCACCUCAGGAGAAAACAAUUUACCAGAUGACCUGAACAAAGGCGGCAGUGUACUGUGAGGGUGCAUUUCAGGGAAAAUGAGGUGGUUCUCAAGGAGGAAACCGUUUUCCAGCUCAACAGGCUGCUAGCCACACUCAGCAACAAUGAAGCAACCAGAGAAAUCCCACUAUGGUCCACAUGUCUUACAGUGGAGCAGGAAGUAUUCAUACCCCUGAAAUCAAAAGCUACCACGUAGUUUACUGGUGUUUUCUGCUUUGGAGUAGAAAGAAAAGAAUAACUGGAGGAGCUGCAUGGGUUCACAGCUCAGGUUUGAGACUCAUUCAAUAGGACAGAAGAAAGACAUUUUU